This 209-nucleotide ribosomal RNA is filed under the name uncultured bacterium. Its description in RNAcentral is "partial 16S ribosomal RNA". It matches the Rfam family "Bacterial small subunit ribosomal RNA", at positions 524 to 732 of the family's 1533-position model. The record is from RNAcentral.
UACGUAGGUGGCAAGCGUUGUCCGGAUUUACUGGGCGUAAAGAGCGCGCAGGCGGUCGUUCAAGUCGCGUGUGAAAGCCCCGGCUCAACUGGGAGAGGUCCUUGCAUACUGGCAAACUCGAGGGAGGCAGAGGAAAGUGGAAUUCCCGGUGUAGUGGUGAUAUGCGUAGAUUAUCGGGAGGAACACCUGUGGCGAAGGCGGCUUUCUGG